RNAcentral lists this ribosomal RNA (468 nucleotides) under uncultured bacterium. RNAcentral's name for it is "partial 16S ribosomal RNA". It matches the Rfam family "Bacterial small subunit ribosomal RNA", at positions 28 to 507 of the family's 1533-position model. The record is from RNAcentral.
GACGAACGCUGGCGGCGUGCUUAACACAUGCAAGUCGAACGGAAAGGCCCUGCUUUUGUGGGGUGCUCGAGUGGCGAACGGGUGAGUAACACGUGAGUAACCUGCCCUUGACUUUGGGAUAACUUCAGGAAACUGGGGCUAAUACCGGAUAGGAGCUCCUGCUGCAUGGUGGGGGUUGGAAAGUUUCGGCGGUUGGGGAUGGACUGGCGGCUUAUCAGCUUGUUGGUGGGGUAGUGGCUUACCAAGGUUUUGACGGGUAGCCGGCCUGAGAGGGUGACCGGCCACAUUGGGACUGCGAUACGGCCCAGACUCCUACGGGAGGCAGCAGUGGGGAGUAUUGCACAAUGAGCGGAAGCCUGAUGCAGCAACGCCGCGUGCGGGAUGACGGCCUUCGGGUUGUAAACCGCUUUCGCCUGUGACGAGGCGUGAGUGACGGUAAUGGGUAAAGAAGCACCGGCUAACUACGUG